GACGAACGCUGGCGGCGUGCUUAACACAUGCAAGUCGAACGGAAAGGCCCUGCUUUUGUGGGGUGCUCGAGUGGCGAACGGGUGAGUAACACGUGAGUAACCUGCCCUUGACUUUGGGAUAACUUCAGGAAACUGGGGCUAAUACCGGAUAGGAGCUCCUGCUGCAUGGUGGGGGUUGGAAAGUUUCGGCGGUUGGGGAUGGACUCGCGGCUUAUCAGCUUGUUGGUGGGGUAGUGGCUUACCAAGGCUUUGACGGGUAGCCGGCCUGAGAGGGUGACCGGCCACAUUGGGACUGAGAUACGGCCCAGACUACUACGGGAGGCAGCAGUGGGGAAUAUUGCACAAUGGGCGGAAGCCUGAUGCAGCAACGCCGCGUGCGGGAUGACGGCCUUCGGGUUGUAAACCGCUUUCGCCUGUGACGAAGCGUGAAUGACGGUAAUGGGUAAAGAAGCACCGGCUAACUACGUG
Molecule: ribosomal RNA, 468 nt
Filed under: uncultured bacterium
Lineage: Bacteria
Description: partial 16S ribosomal RNA
Rfam family: Bacterial small subunit ribosomal RNA
Source: RNAcentral